ACAGCAAUGAGGGUGCCUUCCCAGGGACUUCCCUGGGGGGUUAGAGAGAGUUCUCCAGGAGUGCAUAGAAAGCAAGGAAGGGGCAAUGGUGCAUGGCAGAAAGCAUGGCUGCCUCUCCCAUGUUACAGGAGCCCCAUACGCUUUCCAGGCACUGGUUCCUGCCGAUGCCAGACUACAUCCACUUCAGAUGUAUUGGUUUCCAAACAUUUCCAGCCAUUUGCUGAGAAUUAGCAUUUCAACGGACAUGCUAUCUGAGACUGACUCCAGAAAUCUCUUAGACUUCAUAAACUUGUAGGAUUGCCUGCAAGAACAUUUGCAGGCCACUUAGAUCUGUCUGGGGUGGUCCCCCCUGCUCCAUGGCACAGCAUUGGGAAGUGGGCCUGACAGCAGCCAGAAACUUGUUUCUCACCUCCCACCAGCAACCUCCACUCAGCCCCAGACCCCAGGCACAUGAAGCACAAGUCUCAGGGGACCGUUCCCAUGCUGUGGGGAGCCCAAGGAAGCCCCCAGCAUCUCUUGCAUACACCACUGGCAGUGUGGGCACAACUGGCCACCAGGAGCACACAUGCCUGGGGAAGAGGGGCCUGCUCUGUUGCCUUCAUCCCUGUUAAAAUUGAGUAUAUGCAAGCCAUUUGCACUACGGAAUUGCAUGCCUUGAAAUUCCUUACUGUGUGCACCUUAGUUUGAAUUUGACGUUAUGUAGCAUGCACAAAAGAAUGGAUGGGCUUGGGCUUGUUCCCAAGUCACCUCUACCGCUCAUUGGGAGCACAGUGCUGCCCUCAGCCAAUCCCAGGUUCCGUGGAGCCCGUGUGGCUCCAGCACUUACUGUGCAGUGGCUCCCUUUCCCACCGUGCUCCCUUUCCCACCGUGCCCACUUAAGCUGAUGGCUCACUAAUUUGCACAAAUGGAAUUGUUAUGAUCACGUCUUAGCAGUAUCUUGAUUUAAAGUAAGCCCAAAGCCCACUUCUGGAGUUCCUUACU
This 981-nucleotide long non-coding RNA is filed under the name Mus musculus (house mouse). Its description in RNAcentral is "long non-coding RNA chr11:7177061-7178042". The record is from RNAcentral. Lineage: Eukaryota; Metazoa; Chordata; Mammalia; Rodentia; Muridae.